This 67-nucleotide transfer RNA is filed under the name Vanhornia eucnemidarum. Its description in RNAcentral is "tRNA-His". The record is from RNAcentral. Lineage: Eukaryota; Metazoa; Arthropoda; Insecta; Hymenoptera; Vanhorniidae.
UUUAAAUAGUUUAAUAUAAAAAUUUUGAUUUGUGGAAUCAAUGAUACAAAGUAAUUUGUUUUAAAUU